RNAcentral lists this ribosomal RNA (116 nucleotides) under Vibrio xiamenensis. The record is from RNAcentral. Lineage: Bacteria; Pseudomonadati; Pseudomonadota; Gammaproteobacteria; Vibrionales; Vibrionaceae.
CUUAGCGACCAUAGCGUUUUGGACCCACCUGAUUCCAUGCCGAACUCAGAAGUGAAACGAAAUAGCGUCGAUGGUAGUGUGGGGCUUCCCCAUGUGAGAGUAGAACAUCGCUAGGC